This 406-nucleotide ribosomal RNA is filed under the name uncultured bacterium. RNAcentral's name for it is "partial 16S ribosomal RNA". It matches the Rfam family "Bacterial small subunit ribosomal RNA", at positions 30 to 526 of the family's 1533-position model. The record is from RNAcentral.
AUUGAACGCUGGCGGCAGGCCUAACACAUGCAAGUCGAACGAGUGGCGGACGGGUGAGUAAUGUCUGGGAAACUGCCUGAUGGCGGGGGAUAACUACUGGAAACGGUAGCUAAUACCGCAUACCAUCGGAUGUGCCCAGAUGGGAUUAGCUAGUAGGUGGGGUAACGGCUAACCUAGGCGACGAGCCCUAGCUGGUCUGAGAGGAUGACCAGCCAAAAUGGAACUGAGACACGGCCCAGACUCCGACGGGAGGCAGCAGUGGGGAAUAUUGCACAAUGGGCGCAAGCCUGAUGCAGCCAUGCCGCGUGUAUGAAGAAGGCCUUCGGGUUGUAAAGUACUUUCAGCGGGGAGGCGUUACCCGCAGAAGAAGCACCGGCUAACUCCGUGCCAGCCGCCGCGGUAAUAC